AAUCAACGCUGGCGGCGUGCCUAACACAUGCAAGUCGAACGCGAAAGUUCCUUCGGGGAUGAGUAGAGUGGCGUCCGGGUGAGUAACGCGUGGGUAAUCUGCCUUUGGGGUGGGGGAGUAACUCAGGGAAACGUUAGGGCGUAAUACCGCAUAAUAGCAGCGGCUCGACAUCGAGACAGUUGUUAAAGACAGCAAUGCGCCUGAAGAGGAGCCUGCGUCUGAUUAG
RNAcentral lists this ribosomal RNA (226 nucleotides) under uncultured bacterium. RNAcentral describes it as "partial 16S ribosomal RNA". It matches the Rfam family "Bacterial small subunit ribosomal RNA", at positions 32 to 244 of the family's 1533-position model. The record is from RNAcentral.